CAGCAGCCGCGGUAAUACGUAGNUCCCGAGCGUUGUCCGGAUUUAUUNGGCGUAAAGCGAGCGCAGGCGGUUUGAUAAGUNUGAAGUUAAAGGCUGUGGCUCANCCAUAGUUCGCUUUGGAAACUGUCAAACUUGAGUGCAGAAGGGGAGAGUGGAAUUCCAUGUGUAGCGGUGAAAUGCGUAGAUAUAUGGAGGAACACCGGCGGCGAAAGCGGCUCUCUGGUCUGUAACUGACGCUGAGGCUCGAAAGCGUGGGGAGCGAACAGGAUUAGAUACCCUGGUAGUCCACGCCGUAAACGAUGAGUGCUAGGUGUUGGGUCCUUUCCGGGAUUCAGUGCCGCAGCUAACGCAUUGAGCACUCCGCCUGGGGAGUACGACCGCAAGGUUGAAACUCAAAGGAAUUGACGGGGGCCCGCACAAGCGGUGGAGCAUGUGGUUUAAUUCGAAGCAACGCGAAGAACCUUACCAGGUCUUGACAUCCCGAUGCUAUUUCUAGAGAUAGGAAGUUACUUCGGUACAUCGGUGACAGGUGGUGCAUGGUUGUCGUCAGCUCGUGUCGUGAGAUGUUGGGUUAANNNCCGCAACGAGCGCAACCCCUAUUGUUAGUUGCCAUCAUUCAGUUGGGCACUCUAGCGAGACUGCCGGUAAUAAACCGGAGGAAGGUGGGGAUGACGUCAAAUCAUCAUGCCCCUUAUGACCUGGGCUACACACGUGCUACAAUGGUUGGUACAACGAGUUGCGAGUCGGUGACGGCGAGCUAAUCUCUUAAAGCCAAUCUCAGUUCGGAUUGUAGGCUGCAACUCGCCUACAUGAAGUCGGAAUCGCUAGUAAUCGCGGAUCAGCACGCCGCGGUGAAUACGUUCCCGGGCCU
This 871-nucleotide ribosomal RNA is filed under the name uncultured bacterium. RNAcentral describes it as "bacterial SSU rRNA". It matches the Rfam family "Bacterial small subunit ribosomal RNA", at positions 509 to 1381 of the family's 1533-position model. The record is from RNAcentral.